Long non-coding RNA from Canis lupus familiaris (dog), 3984 nucleotides. RefSeq lists it as uncharacterized. The transcript has 6 exons. The record is from RefSeq and is a predicted model, not a curated record. Lineage: Eukaryota; Metazoa; Chordata; Mammalia; Carnivora; Canidae.
AAAUUGAUUUCUAUCUCAAUUGUACUGUAGCAAGAGAAUAUGGUAUGCACGAUACCCAAUUCUUGAAAAUAUUUUUAGAGUUGUUUGUGGACUGGUACAUAUCUAUUUUUUUGUAAAUAGUGCAUGUGUUCUAGAGAACAACAUUUAUAUGUUCUAUCUAACUUGUGUAAUGUGUUAACAUGUUUAUAUCCUUUUCCUUCUUGGCCCUUCCUUUGAUUAAGAGUGUGGUCCCUGGGAUACUCUGGUUAAUGUAGGGUUCUUAGCUUCUCCUUUCCUGCAUUGCUUGGAUGCCAAGCUCAGUCUCCUAUGCUCUUAGGAGUGGAUGUUCAUUUCCAAAAUUCUAGAUUCUUGGAAUCGACAUUUUCCCAAGGCAACUCAACUUUGGUGUUUGCUUGGAUGUGUGAUGUGAUGUUUAUAAAACCUUUUUUUUUUGCCCUUGAGGAUUUUACUUAUUUUCUUGUGAGCCCAGGAAUGCAUUUACUUUCAUUGUAAUUCUUCCAUCAUUUGACUAUUUUGUGGUAGAAGGCUAUUUCAGAGUAUUUUGGGGCACCAUAUUGCCAGAAGCAGAAUUCUCUAGGUAUUCUUUACUGAGAAAAUAGGUAGAACUCAUCCCUUUUGUCCCUUCUCACUUUUCUAUUUAUUAGGUCUGGAGUAAGACAUAGUCCUCAGAAAUACCCAGUGGUCUGCCAUCUUCUUGAUGAGGAGGAGUUAUAGCUCUUCACCCUGGGGAGAAGCAAGAAGGUUCAUGUUCUUUUCUCUCCAAGUUCUAUUUUUAAUGUGUGAUGAUUUUCUCUUCCAUGGCAGUUUGAAGUCUUGGUCUGAGAUUUCCUAUCAGUUUGGUAACACCAUUUGCCCCUUGCUUAUUCAUGCAGGGAUGUUUUAAGGAGGAAUUUCAAAGAAAAGGACAUCAUGGUGGUAAUGCUGGCACACUUAGAGGGAAGCAGAGGGAAAGAGCAGGAAAGAGACAAAAGAAUGGGGAAAAUAAGACUAAAAUUAAGUCUUGGCUUACAUAUAAGUUGCCUGGUGGAAGUGAGAGCCUAUUGACAUAAUUAUAUGUUCUGGGACCCUAGAUAUUCAUAAAGGGCCUCUUUCCUAAUUCAUUACUAGUGACAUAAACAGGUAAAAUAACAAAGGAUUAAAAAAUAUAACAAAGGAUUCCUUCCCUUCUGGGUUUAUGCUCUGUUUUAGGGGAAAUUAGGAUUUGAAAACCUAAGCACUUCCAUUAAGUGCUUACAAUUUAGUUUGCUGGACAAGCUAUAAAGAACAACAAGAAAAAUACACAGCAGUAUAUGAUCCCUGCUGGUAUACAGUAUUAAGGUAGUAUCAAGAUUGGGGCACCUGGGUGGCUCAGUUGGUUAACUGUCUGACUUUGGCUCAGGUCUUAGGAUUGAGGCCCACAUUGGGCUCCCUGCUCAGUGAGGAGUCAGCUUCUCCCUCUCCCUCUGCCUCUCCCCUGCUCGUGCUCUCUCUUUCUCCCUUUCUCUCUUAAAUAAAUAAAUAAAUAAAAUCUUUAAAAAAAUAGUAUCAGGGUUCAUUUGGGGCAAGUUCACUGCAUUCCAGAGGAGUCAGAGAAAUCUUCCUAGAGAAGUAAAGACAGGAAUUGGCCUUGAUUUAGAGGGGCAAGAGAAAGAUAGCAACCAACUCUCUGCAUAAAGGAAAUGUUCAUCUGUCUCCCUCACUCCUGAUGUAGGCCUGCUUGUGGAGCAGAGUGCCCACAUGACUUAGAAUAAGCUCAGUAUUGCUGACUUAAGAGAGCAACAACUUUCUCAUUUUACAAAUGAGAAAACUGAGAUUCAUGGUAUAAGCUCACAGACCCCCCUGGGCUUCUGACCCUCAAUCUAUUAGUCUUCUUCCACAUACUGUUUGUAAAACCUCCUAUAAUUAUACUACUAGCUCUUGGUUUGUCAGUAGUUACUUUAGACCAUAAUUGGAGUAUGACUAAUGCAUGGAAAUGCAUAAGCAUUGCAUGGACAGUAAUCACGUAAGAAACAGUUAUUGAUUUUACUUUUUUCUGUAACUUGGAGCUGUCUAAUUCCCUGAAAUACCUGUGAUAAAUAAUUAGUUGGUAUUUGCAAAUGCUUAACUCUCUCUAGAGUAAGGUGCUAUAUUAAUAUAAAGAAAAAGAUCCUUACUGUCAAGCUCAGUACCUCUGGGCCUGGAGGUGUCAACUAGCUGAAAAAAAAUCCCUAGAACAAAAGUUGAUUUGAUGAUCUAUUACCAGAAGAGUCAAGUUCCUCAGUAGGUGGAGUGGGCAGUGUCCUUGUCAGAGGAACUUACAGGACGUGCCAUACCCUCCAUCUGAAGGCUCCUUGCCAGCUGGGAAUCUUCCCUGAAGCUGAAACUCGGCCAGACUUUCUUCCCCUUGUCUCUGCAAAGUUUUUUCCUUUAGCCACAAACAAUAAGAAAAUGUGGACAAAGACGGGAAUAAAGAUACUACAGUCUCACCACAUAGCUUAAUUCUUCUGGAUGCCUUUUCUAUGUCCUGUGAUGGAGUGCAUAGAAGUGUGGGCCUGGAGUCAGAAUUGAGCUCUGCCUCUGCCACUAAUUACAUAUUUCAUCUCAGGAGGUGUGUGAGGAGGAGAAAGCAGGAAAAAUCAAACUUCAAAUAAUGUACCAGUUGAAGAAGCACUUUAAUCCUCACGAUGGUCUGAUGCUGAAUCCACUCCUCCAUGCCUUCGUUUUUAAUUCUCAAAUUUACUGCAUUCCAGCAAAUCUCCAUCAUUUUACAUGGAUUAGGCACUAAUUCAGAUAUUUCUAGGGCCCACUGUGAGCCAGGCCCACAGUGAAUGGGACACAGCAAUGAAAGGACACUCGAAGUCACCUCCGUCAUGAAGCUUGUGUUCCAGUGGGAUGGCAUGUUUGGGGGCCAGUGAGUAACCCAUCCCGUUUGGCAGAAUGGACAAGUAGAAGGAAGGCUUGCGCGGUGAGUAGGGACCGGCUAGUUGAGAACCCUGAUCGCAGGUGAGGAGCUUUAUUUCAAGAAGAGGCCAUGCGUCUCUAGGUGAAGCCACGAGCGCCCUGGGAGUGGGAUGACACCGGGCUGUGUCUUCCUGACGCACCUGUGCUUUCUUUCUCCCUUAUGCUCCGCGGUGCGAUGACAGAGAAGCACUGGCUGGGCUGAAAGAUCCUCCUCCUCAUGCUUGGUGCUUGGCCCACAGGACACCUCCUCAGCAGGACAUCAGAGCAGAUCAGAAGUUCUCAACCCUGGAUCUACUAAGGAGUCUGAAACUAUGAGAAGUCAUACACAGAAGGCUCUACACGUCAGCUCUAUUUGUAAUAGCGACAAACUAGAAAUAACCCAGAAGGAGCUGUGGCACAUCCUCAUGAUAGAGUACCAGGCACCCGGGGGAGGGAGUGAGCCUCUCUACAUUGCAGGAGGAAGCAAACUCCAGGAGUUAGUGAAAAAAGCUAAAAAUAUUGGGGGCGGCACGUGGCCGCCUCAAUCAGUACAGCAUGUGACUCUUGAUCUUGGAGUUCUGAGCUCAAGCCCUCCGCUGGGCAUAGAGCUUAUCUAAAGAGAAAACAGGGUAAAAGUGUGGUCCUCUACGUUAAUUUAAGAAAGGAGAGGACAGUAUGUUUUCCAGUGAGAAACUCCACAGGAUGCCUGUCUUCAUUUCUUCAUUUGAAAAAGUAAAAAGGAAAUCGCUUAAUAAAAAGGAGAGCAGGAACUUACAGAUUAAAAGAAUUUAGGAGCGUGCAGACAGCCUCUCCUUUGCUGUCCUGCCCACUGCUCCCUUGUGGUGUAUUCAAUAAACUAUCCCCUUACGAAUGAAUGAAUGAAUGAAUGAAUGAAGUCAAUGGUAAAGAAAUAUAUCAAACAGGGAGAAUCAGAUUUUGAAAAAUUAUUUGAGGAAUCAUUUGAAGAAUUACUAUUACAGAGAGUUUAUUUACUUAUUUUUAUUUUUUUUUUUGGUGUGAUAGGAUAUUGUGGUUAUGUUUUAAAACCACAAUAUCUCUUGGGACUCCUGGGCGGCUCAGUGGUUG